CAGUAACUCCUUUGUAAUAGAUAAUUUCUAGAUGGUUUCCCAUUUAUGGACUGAAGGUAUACCCUUCCUCCUGCUCCCAUGCAAACUCGUAUGUUGAAAUCCCAGCCCUCAAUGUAAUGGUAUUGUGGUGUGGGGCCUCUAGGAGGUGAUUAGGUCAUGAGAGUGGAGGCCUCAUAAAUGCGAUUAGCGCCCUCAUAAAAGAGAUCUUGGAGAGAUCCCUCUCUCAUCCUCUUUCCACUGUACUAGGAUAUAAGAAGUCAGCCAUCUGGAAGCAGGGAGAGAACCUUCAUAGAACCUGACCAUGCCUAUACCUUAGACUGACCUUAGACUUCCAGCCUCCAGAACUGUAAGACUGUUUAUAAUCCACCCAUCUGUUGUACUUUGUAACAGCAGCUUGAACUGAGACAGGUUCCAUUUGCACACGGUCUACCUGGGUCAUCUAUGGCUCAUCCUGCUUUGCUGUUCCUCCAACAUUCACCGAGACCUGACUUUAUAUUCUGAGGUGUUCAAGACAUUCAUUGGCCUAUCUAGCAGGGACUGACUGAGACGGCUACUUCUGUAGGGGGUCACUCCCUGGUCCUUCUAGCCUGCCCUGUGCACAGGUUGAGGACAGUCCUGUGGCUGGAGAAAGCUGGAUCUGAAGGUUGUAGAAACUUGCGGAAAGAAGCCAUCAAAGUGACUUGGAAAGGUUGAAUAAGUAGAUAUGCGUUGCCACUGAAAUGCUAGAAAUUAAUGAAGACGAUAAAAAAUUCGUAAGCCAAAAACCAAUGGCAAGCAACUCGGGUACAUACUUGUAAGUUUUCCCAAACUUGAGAAGAUAAUCAAAGUCAUGGCUGAGAAGAAGGAAAAGAGAGGGAAGCAGAGGCUGUGGGGCAGGGAAAGGUCCGGUUGACCUACAGAAGUUGGGUUACCCUCCCUGCCUCCACUGAGGAUCACCAAGAAGAAAGUAGAAAGACAAUAAAAGACUUGUGAAGAUUU
Molecule: non-coding RNA, 978 nt
Organism: Macaca mulatta (Rhesus monkey)
Lineage: Eukaryota; Metazoa; Chordata; Mammalia; Primates; Cercopithecidae
Source: RefSeq, a predicted model, not a curated record